GGCGGCAGGGCUAACACAUGCAAGUCGAGCGGCAGCGGGGGGAAGCUUGCUUCCCCGCCGGCGAGCGGCGGACGGGUGAGUAAUGUCUGGGGAUCUGCCUGAUGGAGGGGGAUAACUACUGGAAACGGUAGCUAAUACCGCAUAACGUCGCAAGACCAAAGUGGGGGACCUUCGGGCCUCACGCCAUCGGAUGAACCCAGAUGGGAUUAGCUAGUAGGUGAGGUAACGGCUCACCUAGGCGACGAUCCCUAGCUGGUCUGAGAGGAUGACCAGCCACACUGGAACUGAGACACGGUCCAGACUCCUACGGGAGGCAGCAGUGGGGAAUAUUGCACAAUGGGGGAAACCCUGAUGCAGCCAUGCCGCGUGUGUGAAGAAGGCCUUCGGGUUGUAAAGCACUUUCAGCGGGGAGGAAGGGGACAAGGUUAAUAACCUUGUUCAUUGACGUUACCCGCAGAAGAAGCACCGGCUAACUCCGUGCCAGCAGCCGCGGUAAUACGGAGGGUGCAAGCGUUAAUCGGAAUGACUGGGCGUAAAGCGCACGCAGGCGGUCUGUUAAGUUGGAUGUGAAAUCCCCGGGCUUAACCUGGGAACUGCAUUCAAAACUGACAGGCUAGAGUCUCGUAGAGGGGGGUAGAAUUCCAGGUGUAGCGGUGAAAUGCGUAGAGAUCUGGAGGAAUACCGGUGGCGAAGGCGGCCCCCUGGACGAAGACUGACGCUCAGGUGCGAAAGCGUGGGGAGCAAACAGGAUUAGAUACCCUGGUAGUCCACGCUGUAAACGAUGUCGAUUUGGAGGUUGUGCCCUUGAGGCGUGGCUUCCGGAGCUAACGCGUUAAAUCGACCGCCUGGGGAGUACGGCCGCAAGGUUAAAACUCAAAUGAAUUGACGGGGGCCCGCACAAGCGGUGGAGCAUGUGGUUUAAUUCGAUGCAACGCGAAGAACCUUACCUACUCUUGACAUCCAGCGAACCCUGUAGAGAUGCGGGGGUGCCUUCGGGAACGCUGAGACAGGUGCUGCAUGGCUGUCGUCAGCUCGUGUUGUGAAAUGUUGGGUUAAGUCCCGCAACGAGCGCAACCCUUAUCCUCUGUUGCCAGCACUUCGGGUGGGAACUCAGGGGAGACUGCCGGUGAUAAACCGGAGGAAGGUGGGGAUGACGUCAAGUCAUCAUGGCCCUUACGAGUAGGGCUACACACGUGCUACAAUGGCGCAUACAAAGAGAAGCGACCUCGCGAGAGCAAGCGGACCUCAUAAAGUGCGUCGUAGUCCGGAUUGGAGUCUGCAACUCGACUCCAUGAAGUCGGAAUCGCUAGUAAUCGUAGAUCAGAAUGCUACGGUGAAUACGUUCCCGGGCCUUGUACCCACCGCCCGUCACACCAUGGGAGUGGGUUGCAAAAGAAGUAGACAGCUUAACCU
RNAcentral lists this ribosomal RNA (1413 nucleotides) under Dickeya dadantii. Its description in RNAcentral is "bacterial SSU rRNA". It matches the Rfam family "Bacterial small subunit ribosomal RNA". Lineage: Bacteria; Pseudomonadati; Pseudomonadota; Gammaproteobacteria; Enterobacterales; Pectobacteriaceae. The record is from RNAcentral.